Molecule: long non-coding RNA, 1500 nt
Filed under: Cyanistes caeruleus (blue tit)
Lineage: Eukaryota; Metazoa; Chordata; Aves; Passeriformes; Paridae
Description: lncRNA (ENSCCEG00000010421.1)
Source: RNAcentral
GACGAUUGAAGUGUUUUGGUUUGGUUUGGUUGGAAGACUGUACUAGCUUGCCAGAGGGAAUUCAGAGGAAACUAGAAUACUUUCCCAAAGAGAAGGAUUGCCAUCCCUGGGCUUCUGCACUGCAACUCAGAGAGUCCUGGGCCCACUCCUUGUGCCUUUCCUGCUUUGGGGACACUGGCAGAAUAAAGGUGGUGAGUAAAGAACAAAUGUGUUCUUGCUGUUUAAGAAAGCUUCCUGAAUAUGCAAGAUUUUCUUUCUGGUCUCUCUAUCAGACAGUUGGAUGAUGGCAGCACCCAACUUCAUCUGGAAGUGCUCAAACCCUGCAGCAAUGAGACUAAUAUUAAAAGCCCUGAUAGUAUCAGGCACCACACUCCAUUAUAUCACGACUGCGUUUCCAUCUUCAGGCCCAGUCUUCUUAAAAAGAGCUUGUGGAGAGCAGUGGCUCAUGACAGCUGGAAAACCUACGUGCCACAGAGAGCCAAAGAUAUCUGACUGUGCAUAAUGGUGCUACCCAUAACCUUGGCAUAGGUUUUGAUGAUGAAGUGCAAGGUAAGCCCACCCAAAGUGAUUCAUAUGAACUGUUGGUCUGGAGAUCUCAAACCACAGAUCUCCCUCUUCUGGUUGGAGAAGAUUUUCUAGACAUACAUGCUUGAUGAAAUGUGAUGGCACCAGUUGCCUGUAAUAGUAUUAUUUGGAAAUACCUUCUCUCUGUUCCAAAUCUGUUUCCGAUCUGCAGAUACACUGCAGGUGUAUGUAGCUUGAAACAUGAAUAGAAGUGGCUGACAAAAUACUAACUUUACAGACCUGGACUUAGGGUACUUCUAAAUCCAUUUGUUUAGGUUUGUACAGGAAAUGAGUAGCACAGUGAGGGACAGGCCCCAGACCACUUAAGAUCCAAGUAUUGUGCUCAACCAGAAAUCAGCCUUAUCUCCCUAGUAUCUUUGUGGUAGCAGUUUCUUCAUUAAAUGUUUUUAGUUGCAUUAUCAUAUUCUCCUUGGAGCUUUCAAACUAUCCCAGUGAAAAAGGCUGACCACAGUUGUAAUGAAAUGAUUAUUCAGAGAAUUUGUUUUCUCUUUUGCUUUUUUUCCCUUCCAUUUGCUAUCAUGAAUGCCCUCAGAGAAGUAAUUUCCAUUACAUCAGGAGGUGGACAUCUUAUAUACUUCAGUAUGACUUUUUAAGGAUAGCCACACUGCAGGAGACUGGCUUCACACUCAUUAGACAGAAGCAAAGGCUGUCAGCUUGACACAGACUGUAAACUUGACACAAAAAUUCUUGUGAAAGUGUAUGAUUUGUUCUUUAUGCUGCAGGAAAUCUUUACAGAAGGAUAUUCAAUCUCAAUUUGGUUUCUAUGAAAUCCUGUUCUUGGCCCAUGUGUAAACAUACUACACUUUAGUGCCGAGAGGUGAUCCAGCUGCAAAGACUCCUUAAGCUAUUGUCCAGCCAUUCACACCUCUGGAAUUUCAUAAUAAAUUGAAUCAACUGAAUGUGUGGGGGGUUAGA